Long non-coding RNA from Taeniopygia guttata (zebra finch), 2520 nucleotides. The record is from Ensembl. Lineage: Eukaryota; Metazoa; Chordata; Aves; Passeriformes; Estrildidae.
GGGAUCCUGCAGGAAUUUUGGAGGAUUCCACAGGAAUUUUGGGAUUCCCACACUGGAAUUUUGGGGGGAUCCCGCUGGAAUUUUGGGGAAUCCCACUGGAAUUUUGGGGGGAUCCCGCUGGAAUUCUGGGGGAUCCUGCUCAAAUUCUGGGAAAUCCCACUGGAAUUUUGGGGAAUCCCUCUGGAAUUCUGGGAAAUCCUGCUGGAAUUUUGGGGGAUCCCGCUGGAAUUCCAGGGGAUACUUCAGGAAUUCUGGGGGAUCCGGAUCAAAUUCUGGGAAAUCCCAGUGGAAUUUUGGAAAAUCACGCUGGAAUUCUGGGGGAUCCCACUGGAAUUGUGUGAAAUCCCACUGGAAUUUUGGGGGGAUCCUGCUGGAAUUUUGGGAAAUCCCACUGGAAUUCCAGGGGAUCCCACUGAAAUUUUGGAGGAUCCUGCUGGAAUUCCAGGGAAUCCCUCUGGAAUUCUGGGGGAUCCUGCUGGAAUUUUGGUAAAUCCGGCUGGAAUUCCAGCAGGAUCCCGGUUUGGCAUUCCCGGAUUAUUUCCAUGGUUUGGCGUUCCCGGAUUUCCCGCUCCGGGAUUUGUCCCUCGGGAUCGGGAGCAGCGACCCCGGAGCUGAGCGGGGGAUUUACACCAGAGGAGGGACCGGAUCCCGCACGGAUCGAGUCGGAAUUCCAUGUGGGAUCGAGUCGGAAUUCCAUGUGGGAAUGUGUUGGAAUUCCAUGUGGGAAUGUGUUGCAAUUCCAUGUGGGAACGCCGGGAUCCUGUGCGGGAAUGUUGGGAUCAGUGUGGGAAUUCUGGGAUCCAACAUGAGAAUUCUGGGAUCCCACAUGGGAAUGUCGGGAUCCGACGCGGGAAUGCCCAAAUUCCAUAUGGGAAUGUCAGGAUUCGAGUGGGAAGCCCCAAAUUCCGUGUGGGAAUUCUGGAAUCCUGUGUGGGAAUGUUGGGAUCCAACAUAAGAAUUCUGGGAUCCCGUGUGGGAAUGCCGAGAUCCCAUGUGGGAAGCCCCAAAUUCCGUGUGGGAAUGUCGGGAUCCCGUGUCAGAAUGUCAGGAUUUGUGUGGGAAUGCCCAAAUUCCAUAUGGGAAUGCCCAAAUUCCAUAGGGGAAUACCGAGAUCCCAUGUGGGAAUGCCGGGAUCCCAUAUGGGAAUGUCAGGAUCUGUGUGGGAAUGCUGAAAUUCCGUGUGGGAAUGCCGGGAUCCCCUGUGGGAGUGCUGGGAUCUGUGUGGGAACAGCGAAAUUCCAUGUGGGAACGCCGAAAUUCCGCGUGGGAGCACCAGGAUCUCGUGUGGGAGUGUCGGGAUCCCGGGUGGGAACACCGAAAUUCCGUGUGGGAAUGCCCAAAUUCCAUGUGGGAACGCCGAAAUUCCGUGUGAGAAUGUCGGGAUCCCCUGUGGGAGUGCCGGGAUCCGUGUGGGAAUGCCGAAAUUCCAUGUGGGAAUGCCCAAAUUCCAUGUGGGAAUGCCGAAAUUCCGUGCGGGAGCGGCCGUGUGCUCCCCACCUCCAGAUCUCCAUAAAACAUCGGAUCCGCCGCUUCCCGACUUUUCCGUCAUCCCGGAGGGGUUUGGGAAUCAACGGAGGGAUCCGACCCCGGGAACGGGGAUUGGGGCGGGAAUUGGGAGUUGGGAAUGGGAAUUGGGAUCCGGAGUUGGGAAUUGGGAUCUGGGAAUGGGAAUUGGGAAUUGGGAAUGGGAAUUGGGAUCUGGGAACGGGAAUUGGGAUCCAGAGUUGGGAAUUGGGAUCCGGGAACGGGAAUUGGGAUCUGGGAAAGGGAAUUGGGAUCCGGAGUUGGGAAUUGGGAUCCGGAGUUGGGAAUUGGGAUCCAGAGUUGGGAAUUGGGAUCCGGAGUCGGGAAUUGGGAUCUGGGAAUGGGAAUUGGGAAUGGGAAUGGGAAUUGGGAUCCGGAGUUGGGAAUUGGGAUCCAGAGUUGGGAAUUGGGAUCCAGAGUUGGGAAUUGGGAAUGGGAAUGGGAAUUGGGAUCUGGGAACAGGAAUUGGGAAUUGGGAACAGGAAUUGGGAUCUGGGAAUGGGAAUUGGGAUCUGGGAACGGGAAUUGGGAUCCGGAGUUGGGAAUUGGGAUCCGGAGUUGGGAAUUGGGAUCCGGCCCCGGGAAUUGGGAUCCGGAGUCGGGAAUUGGGGAAUGGGGAUGGGAAUUGGGAUCCAGAGUUGGGAAUUGGGAUCCGGGAAAGGGAAUUGGGAUCCGGAGUUGGGAAUUGGGAUCCGGGAAUGGAAAUUGGGAUCCGGAGUUGGGAAUUGGGAUCCAGAGUUGGGAAUUGGGGUCUGGGAAUGGGAAUUGGGAUCUGGGAAUGGGAAUUGGGAUCCGGAGUUGGGAAUUGGGAUCCGGGAAUGGAAAUUGGGAUCCGGAGUUGGGAAUUGGGAUCCAGAGUUGGGAAUUGGGGUCUGGGAAUGGGAAUUGGGAUCUGGGAAUGGGAAUUGGGAUCCGGAGUUGGGAAUUGGGAUCUGGGAAUGGGAAUUGGGAUCCGGAGUUGGGAAUUGGGAAUGGGAAUUGGGAGCUGGGAAUGGG